UAUACACUUUUUCAUGAUAUCCAAUUGGUAGUUACAGUCUUGUCCGAUCGCUGCAACUCCUGUACGGACUUGGGAGAGGCAGCUUAACACAGAAGCCAGCUGCACUAAUGUGUCAGAGGAAACGCUGUAAACCUGGUUACCGAAGUCAGCUUGUGGGCGCUUGGCCUGCCACAAGGAGUCGCUAGAGCACGAUGGGACAAUGACAUCCCAUUUCAUGGGUCUCCCGGUCACGGCCAGCUGUGACACAGCCUGGGGUUGAACCCGUGUCUGUAGUGACACCUCACUGCGAUGCAGUGCAUUAGACCGCUGCACCACUCUGGAGGAUGAAAAAUCUGCAAUCAUGAAAGAAGAACUGUCAGAAAAGCGAUGAAGCCUUUUUGCCCAUCAAGACCUGAACCCAGACAGCUGCCAGUACAGGGUCUGCUCCGAUCAUUUCAUCACUGCUGACCUCUAUCAAGACACCCAUGUCGACUGGAUUCCCACUGUGAAAGUCAGCAAUCCUGCAGCAGCAUCAGUCUCUACUUCUACUUCGUCCUUUUCCAGAUAUGAAAUGAGACAUCCCUCAGUUAGACAAAACGGUUGUCAAUCUGAAUGAUUCUGGUGUGCCAUGUGAGUAAAGAGCACCUUCGUCAUGUCAAAAGUGUGCCCUUAAUUACACCGUAUGAAUAUAUAAAAUGUCAUUUGGAACAUGUAAAAU
Long non-coding RNA from Oncorhynchus tshawytscha (Chinook salmon), 697 nucleotides. NCBI's taxonomy places the organism in Eukaryota, Metazoa, Chordata, Actinopteri, Salmoniformes, Salmonidae. The record is from Ensembl.